RNAcentral lists this ribosomal RNA (243 nucleotides) under unidentified. RNAcentral's name for it is "Upeneus taeniopterus partial small subunit ribosomal RNA". The record is from RNAcentral.
AAAGGCCCGAGUUGAUAGACCUCGGCGUAAAGAGUGGCUACGGAAACCUCAACCAAAUAAAGCCAAAUGCCUUCUGGACUGUUAUACGUGUAUGAAGGUAAGAAGCCCCACCACGAAAGUGGCUUUAACCCAUCCCGCCCACGAAAGCCAAGAAACAAACUGGGAUUAGAUACCCCACUAUGCUUGGCCGUAAACCAUGAUAUGCAAUUACAAAUGUUAUCCGCCUGGGUACUACGAGCAUUA